CCGGACAAUGAGUGCAUGCCCGACUUUCUCCAGAUGAGCCAAGCUGUCUGGAACUGCUGUCUGGAAAGGCCUCUUCGCCAUCCCAGCCAGUGUACCCAACAAUCAGGAGGCAUUGCCCAACCCAGAGCUGCCGGGAUAAACAUUUACAAGAUCCGGAGGGAUUAUUAGCGAAGGGCAGAGGAUGUUUCUGUUUGAAUCUCCGACAGUCACUAAGUGAAGACCAGAAGUCUAUUGACUCGGCUUCAUGGGACUGGACUAUAGGCUGCUGGCCUCAGAGGGAACUGAGUAUUCAGCUACCUACACAGUCUCCAUCGGGAAUAUGGAAAAAGCACUUUCCUCUGUGCUGGACAGGUGAAACACUGAAGGAUGGAGACUACUGACUUUAAACUCCAGAACAGUGGUAAAGAAAAGCUGUUCUGCUAGAAUCUACCUCGUCUCAGGAAAGCGAACCCAUUCUGUCCUUUACCAGGAAGAGGACACUAGCUACAAUUUACCCUUUUACAGAGGGAGAUUAGAGACACAAAGAAGGAUCCCCUUGAAGCGUGACAGCUGCAAUGACUUCCAGAUGUUCACCUCCUCUCUUCUAGCAGACAAGGGUGGAUGUGGUAAACUCCACGAUGGAAACCAAAAACCCAGCCAGAUGUACCAUGUCAGUGUCAGCAACACACACAUCUGGCUUCAAUACCGGCAGCGAUAACCAGAACAAAUGGCUGUUAUUCCCGCUGUAUUCAACUUGUCAGCAUUCCCCGUUAAAAGGCGGUGGGGGCGGGGACAUACAGGGCUUGGGGAGCGACGUGGCAAGGCCGGGCCUGGGCGGGGUGCGGGCCGCAGGCCGGGCUGAGCUCCGCGCCUCCGGGCAGCCGGGACAAGUGUGAGCCUUGCUGGCCUUGGAUGAGGAGCCCCGGCGUCCACCGGAAGACGAGGGCCACGGCAGCGUAGCUU
Long non-coding RNA from Rhinolophus ferrumequinum (greater horseshoe bat), 942 nucleotides. RefSeq lists it as uncharacterized. The record is from RefSeq and is a predicted model, not a curated record. The transcript has 5 exons. NCBI's taxonomy places the organism in Eukaryota, Metazoa, Chordata, Mammalia, Chiroptera, Rhinolophidae.